Molecule: transfer RNA, 67 nt
Filed under: Typhlocybinae gen. 1 sp. 1 BY-2021a
Lineage: Eukaryota; Metazoa; Arthropoda; Insecta; Hemiptera; Cicadellidae
Also listed under: 1 other name
Description: tRNA-Leu
Source: RNAcentral
AAUGAAUUGGCAGAGUUUAUGUGUUAGAUUUAGAAUUUAUUAAGGUGUUUUAUAAACAUAUUCAUUA